RNAcentral lists this ribosomal RNA (719 nucleotides) under Synuchus sp. 4 CR-2009. Its description in RNAcentral is "eukaryotic LSU rRNA". It matches the Rfam family "Eukaryotic large subunit ribosomal RNA", at positions 486 to 898 of the family's 3401-position model. Lineage: Eukaryota; Metazoa; Arthropoda; Insecta; Coleoptera; Carabidae. The record is from RNAcentral.
CAGUGAUGUUUAUAUAUGAGACAUCAUAUGCGGUUGCGGUUUAUUCUGUAAUUGUUAUAUGGUGCUCCGCUGUUUUAUGUAUAUUGUUUAUAGCCGGAGGCGUGCACUUCUCCCCUUGUAGGACGUCGUGACCCAUUGGAUAAUUAAAAUGUUGUCUAAGRCUCGUGAUGGAGACCGUGGCAUUAGGUUUCGGCUUUAAUGACCCGGACUUACGAUGUCCCGACAUCUAUCCGAUGGUAGUAUUANGAUGAUGGGUCGCUAUAAAUAUGCGAGCGUUCAGAUCCAUAACAAAUGCUUAUAUGGUAUAUCAGUGGAAAUCGGAUUUAAUGCCGGUUCUGCACGUAUGGUAUUGUUAGUUGUGGUAUUCUCGAACCGUUCCUUUUCAUCAGUCAACGGCGUUUAUGUUUUGGGUAAUUACAGGACCCGUCUUGAAACMCGGACCAAGGAGUCUAGCAUGUGCGCGAGUCAUUGGGACUCUGUGAAACCUAAAGGCGCAAUGAAAGUGAAGUAUUUGUGAAUUUUCGUAAUUCACUUGUUUAAGGGAAGAUGGGUAACGUUAUUUAUGUUACCUCGCAUUCCCGGGGCGUCGCGUACUUAUUGCAAGUUGCGGCGCACCAAGAGCGUACACGCUGGGACCCGAAAGAUGGUGAACUAUGCCUGGUCAGGAUGAAGUCAGGGGAANCCCUGAUGGAGGUCCGUAGCGAUUCUGACGUGCAAAU